AUUGAACGCUGGCGGAAUGCUUUACACAUGCAAGUCGAACGAUGAACCUUAGCUUGCUACGGGGAUUAGUGGCGAACGGGUGAGUAAUAUAUCGGAACGUACCUUGUAAUGGGGGAUAACUAGUCGAAAGAUUAGCUAAUACCGCAUACGCCCUGAGGGGGAAAGUAGGGGAUCUUCGGACCUUACGUUAUAAGAGCGGCCGAUAUCUGAUUAGCUAGUUGGUGGGGUAAUGGCCUACCAAGGCGACGAUCAGUAGCUGGGCUGAGAGGACGACCAGCCACACUGGAACUGAGACACGGUCCAGACUCCUACGGGAGGCAGCAGUGGGGAAUUUUGGACAAUGGGCGCAAGCCUGAUCCAGCCAUUCCGCGUGAGUGAAGAAGGCCUUCGGGUUGUAAAGCUCUUUCGCAAGGGAAGAAAACUUACAUUCUAAUAAAGUGUGAGGCUGACGGUACCUUGAUAAGAAGCACCGGCUAACUACGUGCCAGCAGCCGCCGUAA
This 500-nucleotide ribosomal RNA is filed under the name uncultured bacterium. RNAcentral's name for it is "partial 16S ribosomal RNA". It matches the Rfam family "Bacterial small subunit ribosomal RNA", at positions 30 to 523 of the family's 1533-position model. The record is from RNAcentral.